Molecule: long non-coding RNA, 1239 nt
Organism: Mesocricetus auratus (golden hamster)
Lineage: Eukaryota; Metazoa; Chordata; Mammalia; Rodentia; Cricetidae
Exons: 4
Source: RefSeq, a predicted model, not a curated record
CUGCUGUCUUUGUGGCUCUAAAUUCUCUUUCACUGCUCCCCCACCCCCAUCUUCCUCUCCCCCCACCCCACCCCCUUUCCUUUCACUUUCUCUGUCUCUUUGUCUAGAGGGUCAGAGUCUCCCAGAAACCCAGCUCUGUUUCCUGCUUUCUUUCUCCAGACCCCCAGCUCAUCUGGCCCUCAUUGAGGUCAAAUUGCCAUACAGUGAAAACACAGAUCUGGACUACGUAACAACGGAUUCAACAAAUAGCACACCCUCAUCAAAGAGAACAGUUGGAUCACCCCAGAGUUUACCCUGCCUCCCAGUUAGUCGUCAAGACUUCCCCACAGCCUGGUGAAGUUUUUGAACAGCUGGUCAACAGCAGAGUAACUCAGUGGGAAAGUGGUCAAUGUACGCUUCGAUCUGUUAUUGUGCCCGGCAGCCAGCUUGCAAACGGUGGAGUCCAUCAUUGGUUUAUGAUGAGUGCUUCCGUGGUAACUGGCGGAUGGAGGGGUGAUAGUGCAUCGGGAGCAGAGAUCCGGAGGGAGAAGUGAUCACAGGAACACACGUGCCCAGACCCCUAACCCAGAUACUGAAGAGGCUGCUAGACUCCGCACUGUGUGGAGUCAAAGUGUCCCCACAGUUGCCUCUAAACAGAGGUUACAGGCACUCUUAUCUCUUAACCACGUCAGUAAACAUCUGCUAAUCCACAAAUCAAGCCCUGGAUUUGUAGGGCUUAAUGUUUUUCUAGUCACUGCACCCUUCCUGAUCUCCACUGCCGCAAGAUAGGACAGGGGAAUAGGCACUCACCCUUUGCCUACACCAGAAAGCAACCCGCAGCCAAUGCCUGAUGGACCGCAGUGCAAGAGGGUGACUGGCCCCUUGUGCCUGGUGGACAGGCUGGCUCUGUGCUGUGUAGACAUUUGCCUGUUGGGUGCAUUGCAGUCAAUCUUGGAGACAGCUAGCUCAAUACAGCACUUUUCACAGUCUCUCAUCCCCUCCCUGUCUCAGCCUGCCAACACACACAGACACCUCCUCGUGUGUCUGCUAAUACAUUGGCACCAGUGUCCCUAUCUCAGGAUCUGUUUCUGGUGAAACCCAGUCCACGGAACUCCAAGCCUCGCAGCUGCAGAAGUGGGGACUGUCGGCUGACACCCGGGGUCUCUUCUCGGUGUUAAUGACCUGCAUGUUGUUGCUCCCACAAUCACUGUCGUUUUUUGUCUGCAUCUUUCUUCUUGCAAAUGACCUUAAGCAUCCGUU